UCUAAGGGGCAGUGAGGGCUGACCCCAGUCCCUCCCUAGCCUCAGGCUUUCCUUGAGUUUUUGCCUGCGUGUGAGGCUUAACAGUGCAAAAGCAGCAGGCUUGAAAAGCUGCAAUGGAAUGAGAAAAGAUGGCCUUUGGUGAUUAAUAGCGCAGUCCUCUGCAUGCCUAUGCAGACAUCAGUCCCAUUGAAUUCAAUAGGCCUACUCUGGGGAAUGAUGGAAGAAGGCCUUCAAGCUGUACCUCCAUCCCAGCCUGGAAGGGUAUCAAAAUGGGAUGGACUCAGUAGGAGCAUUUGGAAAUCCUAGCUACGUUGUCUUCAUCUGCCUCUGUUUUAUUUAGAUGACUAAAUAUUACCCCAUUAGCAUACUAUAACCGUUGCUCAUUUUCCUCUCAGGCAUUCUAUAUAUCAUAUAUACCGCAUUACUUAAUUACCGUCUUUCGCACUUACACACCGAUCUGUCCAUUGGCUUUUAGAUCACAUUCUUAAUUGCAAUAAGCAAAGUAGCUUUUUGUUAUGGCACAGGGAAAGGGUUGGUCAGCUGCCCACUGUCGGCAUUAGAGCACACAGAGGGCUGGCCAAUGAUUUCUCUCUCUCCUCUCUCUCUCUCUCUCUCUCUCUCUCUCUCUCUCUCUCUCUCUCCCUCCCUCCUUUAAUGAUCAAUUACCACCAGAAUAGGUUUCUAAUGGCCACACUAUUAGAGAGUAAUAGACUUGGCUAUAAUAGUUCCUGUUCACAGUAUUUCUCAAACUAGACACUGAACAAACCCCACGCCAGCAAAUGUUUGGAAUGUUUGCCUCAUGGCCAGGUAUUUAAAAGGCAAUAUUCUCUCACACACUCGCAGCAGGCCUGGCCCUACCCUUUGGCAGAAUGAAGCAGCUGCCUCAGGCGGCAGAUGCUGGGGGCAGUACCUUCUGAGCUGGGCUUUGACCUCCAGUGCAGUGGAAGAUGUUCUCCCAUCACCAGUCAGUCUGUCAGCCUGGUUGGAUUCUGUGCAUCUCAUCCCCUUGCCUCAGACAGCAAAAUGGCUUGGACGACAAAGACUGCUUGGAGUCUAGAGAAGGAAGUGUCCUGAAAAACAUAUGCAAGGAGAGAGGAAAUGGACUUGGACCUUCCUAUGUAUACACACUUAUAUGUGAACCCAGGGACAGAGGUUGCCUUGCCAGAUGGAGGAACUCACGCUGAAAAGUGAACAAUGCAUAAAAACAUAUCAUCUAAAGCCAUAGGCCGCCACAAU
Podarcis raffonei (Aeolian wall lizard) is the source of this 1236-nucleotide long non-coding RNA. RefSeq lists it as uncharacterized. The transcript is spliced from 3 exons. NCBI's taxonomy places the organism in Eukaryota, Metazoa, Chordata, Lepidosauria, Squamata, Lacertidae. The record is from RefSeq and is a predicted model, not a curated record.